AAUGACAGGACUAGCAAGACAC
Molecule: microRNA, 22 nt
Filed under: Ananas comosus (pineapple)
Lineage: Eukaryota; Viridiplantae; Streptophyta; Magnoliopsida; Poales; Bromeliaceae
Description: microRNA s1273_c028b
Source: RNAcentral